This 246-nucleotide long non-coding RNA is filed under the name Vigna radiata. RNAcentral's name for it is "long non-coding RNA (VRAD_LNC004977)". The record is from RNAcentral. Lineage: Eukaryota; Viridiplantae; Streptophyta; Magnoliopsida; Fabales; Fabaceae.
AAAAGUUGAAGUUUAAAAAAAAAAUGAAAAAAAAAGAAUGAUGAAAAAAAAAAUAUAUCUUCCUAAAAAGAGCAAGAAAUAAGGUUGUUUUUGAAAUAAAAUGUCAUUACUCUUUCUAUAUCAAUUUCAAAAACCCAUCAAUUCCAAAAAAUUUCUUACCUUUGCCUUGGCCUCAAUAUAACCUUUAAAAAAUCCUCAUGAUCAAUAAUUGCAUGUUUUCUGAAGUGUGUGAAUAUUAGAGUCCUG